GUUUUAUUUGUGUAAUUACGUUCAGAAAAUCAGGUUUGGUGAAAGUGGUUAAGAAAAAUUCGUCUUUAAGUGUUGCUCACAACUCAAAGCGAGCUCCUUAAAAUUUGUUCGGGGAUCAGAUUUUUUGGGUGCCUCUUAAUAUAAUCAAAGUAGCGUAAUUAUUCUCAGUUCUGAUGGGUCUUUGGGCUAAAAUCUUCCAGAAAUUGUAACGUUUCCGUUUACAUUUGAAUUGAAAUUCCCGCUAAAUAUGAAAAUAUAAACUCAAGGUAACCAACAAUAAGAAUUUGGACAAAGGUAACUAGUAAGGGUCAAGGGGUUAUCGAAUGUGGAGAGGAUAGAGGUGAUUGAGCGUGAGAAAUAUGGUUGAAUGAAUCCGAGAAUAUUGUUGUAAUCCUGUAAGAAAUUCAAAAUUAAUUAAAUUGAUUGAAACAUUUACUACAAACAUAAACUAAAUCCAUGCCAGACAUAUGUGAUAUUUGAAAUUAUAUGAAAUUCCUUUUAAUUAUCAAAUAAACCCAAUAACAUUUGGGUUUAUUUAUUACUUAUUUAUUAGAUAGUUAAAAUACCAAUUUGGAUCAUCGUAUAAUCUACCCUUAAUUUACCAAGUUUGACCAAUACCUAUUUACCUCUGGAGCCGGAAUCCACAUCAGAAUCUCAUCCAACGCCGUCGUUUGGUAACCACCACCGAGUCCUAAAACAAUAAAAAAAUAGAAAUCAAUUUGGAGUAAGGUCAGAAAAACUGUUUAUAAAUUAAACUCACCUCAUUAAUCAUCCAACACAAAACAUAUUGUGAAGUAAUCACGACAUACAUAAUCUGUAAGAGAUCUCCGGUAAAACCCCACAACACCCACUCAAACAUUCACCUCUCUUUCAUUUCUAGUAGUCCUUAAAAAAAAGAAAAUUUUAUAUUAAAAAAAAUAAUAUUGACGAACCAGUUAUUAUUUUAGCGAACAUUAAAGAAUCAAGUAUUUGUGUCAAUGGUUUAUUUCAUAUAGUUCUAGGACUGGGUUUUAUUAAUCGUACCCUAAUUUGUCCAACGCAACUCUGGCGCCCUAAUAAUCCUUAUGCUCUCCGGUUUUGAGCCGAGCGAAGGGGUAUCGGUCCAACAUUGUAUGAACCAUUGCCAUACAGUUUUCUUACCAGGUAGGUAGUUUGUUUCUUGAUUGAUUUAUUUUGUUGUCCAUUUAACGAUUGACCGUAUUUACGUUACCUCUUCAUGAACCUAUCGAAUUGGUAUUUUUGCCAAUACGAAAAGGUUUAUGUCUCUGUCGAGCUAAGACAAGUCUGUUCUCUAUGAACUUUGAAGGCAAGAUUAAAGUACAGCGUUUGCUAUAUUUUGUAGUAGUUUGUCCACUGUAACUAUUGAUAUAAUCAAAGUA
This is a long non-coding RNA of Photinus pyralis (common eastern firefly), 1379 nucleotides long. RefSeq lists it as uncharacterized. The record is from RefSeq and is a predicted model, not a curated record. The transcript is spliced from 3 exons. Lineage: Eukaryota; Metazoa; Arthropoda; Insecta; Coleoptera; Lampyridae.